AUUCUAAUGGGUUCGAGGAAAAUCUGCCGCGGAAGCGGAGGAUAUAUUAAAUUUAUGCCGACAUAUAGAAAAUCGUUAAUGUACUUACAACCUUCUGUUGAUGAUCUAGCACUACUUGUUGGUUGCAAUGGCGCUAUUCCCAGACCACGGCGAUCGGCACAUUUCCAUCCUUUCGCCGGCCCCCGUUGUAGCGGGCAGGGCGCGCAUGGGUUCGUUAAACUUGCCACCUUGCUUGCAGUUUUGUUGUCAUCGUACGGGGAAGGUGAACAUUUUUAAAAACAACACUGAGUUCCGGCUCAUAUCCAACUAAUCUGUUUUCCGCUUGCGUUCUCCGGGUGCGUUUCGGGUGUCUCGCCCUCACUUCUUAUUCGGCGAACGUCCGUCUGCGGCCGCUGUGUCCAUUGUCGAGAAUCGGCGUACACAAUUGAAUUUGUUUAUGUUCGCUUCCGUUCUGUCGGAUAUCCAUUCGAGCACACUUUCACAUCCAUUCCGUCCGCACGACAAAUUUACGUCGCGGCAACUUCGGAUUGGGAACUUUCUGACCGAUCCUAGCUCCCUCUGCUCUAUCGGACUAUUUUCGUUGGCCGGAAUUUCCGUGCUUCUGU
RNAcentral lists this long non-coding RNA (605 nucleotides) under Androctonus crassicauda. Lineage: Eukaryota; Metazoa; Arthropoda; Arachnida; Scorpiones; Buthidae. The record is from RNAcentral.